This 620-nucleotide ribosomal RNA is filed under the name uncultured Actinomycetes bacterium. Its description in RNAcentral is "bacterial SSU rRNA". It matches the Rfam family "Bacterial small subunit ribosomal RNA", at positions 86 to 720 of the family's 1533-position model. The record is from RNAcentral. Lineage: Bacteria; Bacillati; Actinomycetota; Actinomycetes.
GGUACACGAGCGGCGAACGGGUGAGUAACACGUGAGUAAUCUGCCCUUCACUUCGGGAUAAGCCUCGGAAACGGGGUCUAAUACCGGAUACGACACUCCUUCGCAUGAGGUGGGUGUAGAAAGUUUUUCGGUGGGGGAUGUGCUCGCGGCCUAUCAGCUUGUUGGUGGGGUAAUGGCCUACCAAGGCUUCGACGGGUAGCCGGCCUGAGAGGGUGACCGGCCACACUGGGACUGAGACACGGCCCAGACUCCUACGGGAGGCAGCAGUGGGGAAUAUUGGACAAUGGGCGGAAGCCUGAUCCAGCAACGCCGCGUGAGGGAUGACGGCCUUCGGGUUGUAAACCUCUUUCAGUACCGACGAAGCGAAAGUGACGGUAGGUACAGAAGAAGCACCGGCCAACUACGUGCCAGCAGCCGCGGUAAUACGUAGGGUGCGAGCGUUGUCCGGAAUUAUUGGGCGUAAAGGGCUCGUAGGCGGUUUGUCACGUCGGGAGUGAAAACACUGGGCUUAACUCAGUGCUUGCUUUCGAUACGGGCAGACUAGAGGCAUGCAGGGGAGAACGGAAUUCCUGGUGUAGCGGUGAAAUGCGCAGAUAUCAGGAGGAACACCGGUGGCGAAG